ACGCGCCAAGGAAAACCGAAACGAAGCGCCCGGCCCCAUCUCAUGCCCCGUACGCGGUGUGCAUGGACGGGGGUGAGGUGCGCCUCUUGAAAUGUCAAAACGACUCUCGGCAACGGAUAUCUCGGCUCUCGCAUCGAUGAAGAACGUAGCGAAAUGCGAUACUUGGUGUGAAUUGNAAGAAUCCCGUGAACCAUCGAGUCUUUGGAACGCAAGUUGCGGCCCGAAGCCUUCCGGGCCGAGGGCACGUCUGCCUGGGCGUCACGC
RNAcentral lists this ribosomal RNA (264 nucleotides) under Sanchezia speciosa. Its description in RNAcentral is "5.8S ribosomal RNA". The stretch from base 102 to 261 matches the Rfam family "5.8S ribosomal RNA". From Rfam's summary of the family: 5.8S ribosomal RNA (5.8S rRNA) is a component of the large subunit of the eukaryotic ribosome. It is transcribed by RNA polymerase I as part of the 45S precursor that also contains 18S and 28S rRNA. Lineage: Eukaryota; Viridiplantae; Streptophyta; Magnoliopsida; Lamiales; Acanthaceae. The record is from RNAcentral.